RNAcentral lists this long non-coding RNA (420 nucleotides) under Zostera marina. RNAcentral describes it as "long non-coding RNA (ZMAR_LNC002987)". Lineage: Eukaryota; Viridiplantae; Streptophyta; Magnoliopsida; Alismatales; Zosteraceae. The record is from RNAcentral.
GGAAUUGAGUUGACAGUUGAAGUAAUACUCAAGAAAUUGAUUUAGAACAUUAAAACUAAUUAUUUUAACAGAGUAAAAAAUUGAAAAACAGAAUUGAAUUUUCAACUCUACGAGUGUAUGUAGACAAGAAUUCAGAAAAGAAUUUAGGCACAAAACAGUUGACGAAAUCAAGAACUGAAAUUUGACUAUUGGAAUAGAACUUCAAACAGCAAAACUAUGGAUUUAAACUGGAACAAUAUACCUGAAAAAAAGAAACGAAAAUGCAAUGUUUUACCAAAAUGACAACGAGUACACUGAGAUCAACUUCGGAAGAUCAGAGAGAAGAAAACUCACCAAUGGAAAAUGAUUUCCAGUUCCUUCUCCAACUCUUCUCCCUGGUUUUAUAACUUCCUGCCCUCUUUCAUUUUUUCAAUUUAUUCG